This is a long non-coding RNA of Phasianus colchicus (ring-necked pheasant), 1359 nucleotides long. Lineage: Eukaryota; Metazoa; Chordata; Aves; Galliformes; Phasianidae. The record is from Ensembl.
GUCAUGAUGUCCCCAUGUCUUGCUGUCCCCAUGUCUUGCUGUCCCCAUGUCUUGGUGUCCCCAUAUCAUGGUGUCCCCAUGUCGUGGUGUCCUCAUAUCAUGGUGUCCCCAAGUUGUGGUGACCCCAGUGUACCCCGUCCUUCCGUCCUCCGUCCUUCCGUCCCCCAUCCUUCUGUCCCCAUGCUUCUGUCCCCCAUCCUUCCAUCAUUCUGUCCCCCGUCCUUCUGUCCUCCAUCCUUCUGUCCCCANNNNNUUCCAUACUUCUAUCUGUCUCCCAUCCUUCCAUCAUUCUGUCCCCCGUCCUUCUGUCCCCCGUCCUUCUGUCCUCAUCUUUCCAUCCCCAUCCUUCCGUCUUCCAUUCUUCUGUCUGUCCUCCAUCUCUCCGUCCCCGUCCUUCCAUCCUCCAUCUUUCCAUCCUUCCAUCCUCCAUCCUUCCAUUCUCCAUCCUGUCCGCCGUCCUUCUGUCAUCCUUCUGUCUGCUGUCCUUCCGUCGUCCUUCUGUCCGCCGUCCUUCUGUCAUCCUUCCGUCCCCAUCCUUCCAUCCUCCAUCUUUCCAUCCCCAUCCUUCCGUCCUCCAUCCUUCCGUCCUCCAUCCUUCCAUCCUUCCAUCCUCUAUCCUUCUGUCUGCUGUCCUUCUGUCCCCAUCCUUCCGUCAUCCUUCUGUCCGCUGUCCUUCCAUCCUUCCACCCUUCCAUCCUCCAUCUUUCCAUCCUCCAUCUUCCAUCUUCCAUCCUUCAUCCUUCCAUCCUUCCAUUCUCCCUCCUUCUGUCCCCUGUCCUUCUGUCCCCAUCCUUCCAUCCUUCCAUCCUCCAUCUGCCAUCUUUCCAUCCUCCAUCCUCCAUCUUUCCAUCCUUCCAUCCUCCAUCCUUCUGUCCCCCGUCCUUCCGUCCCCAUCCUUCUGCCAUCCUCCAUCCUUCCAUCCUCCAUUGUUCUGUCCCUCGUCCUUCCCUCCCUGUCCUUUUGUCAUCCUUCUGUCCACUGUCCUUCCGUCCCUGUCCUUCUGUCCGCUGUCCUUCCGUCCCCAUCCUUCCAUCNUCCUUCCCUCCCCGUCCUUCUGUCAUCCUUCUGUCCGCUGUCCUUCCGUCCCCAUCCUUCCAUCAUCCUUCUGUCCCCGUCCUUCUGUCAUCCUUCUGUCCGCCAUCCUUCCAUCCUCCAUCUGCCAUCCUUCCAUCCUCCAUCCUCCAUCCUUCCGUCCUCUAUCCUUCUGUCUGCUGUCCUUCCGUCCCUGUCCUUCCGUCAUCCUUCCAUCCUUCCAUCCUUCCAUCCUCCAUCCUUCCAUCCUUCCAUCCUCCAUCCUUCCAUCCUUCCAUCCUCCAUCCUUCCGUCCUCUAUCCUUCUGUCUGCUGUCCUUCCGUCCCC